This 329-nucleotide unclassified non-coding RNA is filed under the name soil metagenome. RNAcentral describes it as "partial contains 5.8S ribosomal RNA, internal transcribed spacer 2, and large subunit ribosomal RNA". The stretch from base 1 to 120 matches the Rfam family "5.8S ribosomal RNA", at positions 35 to 154 of the family's 154-position model. The record is from RNAcentral.
GAUGAAGAACGCAGCGAAAUGCGAUAAGUAAUGUGAAUUGCAGAAUUCAGUGAAUCAUCGAAUCUUUGAACGCACAUUGCGCCCCUUGGUAUUCCGAGGGGCAUGCCUGUUCGAGCGUCAUUAUAACGCCUCAAGCUCAGCUUGGUGUUGGGGCCUGCUGCACUGGCAGCCCUUAAAAUCAGUGGCGGCGCCAUCUGGCUCUAAGCGUAGUAAUUCUUCUCGCUAUGGAGUCCUGGUGGAUGCUUGCCAUCAACCCCCAAUUUUUCUAUGGUUGACCUCGGAUCAGGUAGGGAUACCCGCUGAACUUAAGCAUAUCAAUAAGCGGAGGA